CGUUAAGUUGCAGGGUAUAGACCCGAAACCCGGUGAUCUAGCCAUGGGCAGGUUGAAGGUUGGGUAACACUAACUGGAGGACCGAACCGACUAAUGUUGAAAAAUUAGCGGAUGACCUGUGGCUGGGGGUGAAAGGCCAAUCAAACCGGGAGAUAGCUGGUUCUCCCCGAAAGCUAUUUAGGUAGCGCCUCGUGAAUUCAUCUCCGGGGGUAGAGCACUGUUUCGGCCAGGGGGCCAUCCCGGCUUACCAAUCCGAUGCAAACUGCGAAUACCGGAGAAUGUUAUCACGGGAGACACACGGCGGGUGCUAACGUCCGUCGUGAAGAGGGAAACAACCCAGACCGCCAGCUAAGGUCCCAAAGUCAUGGUUAAGUGGGAAACGAUGUGGGAAGGCCCAGACAGCCAGGAUGUUGGCUUAGAAGCAGCCAUCAUUUAAAGAAAGCGUAAUAGCUCACUGGUCGAGUCGGCCUGCGCGGAAGAUGUAACGGGGCUAAACCAUGCACCGAAGCUGCGGCAGCGAACGUAUCACCCAAGACAACUUUGCACAGUUGACGAUUGACGGAGCGAAGCGACGUCAAAGCGUUUUACAACGUCGAGUUGGCUUAGGGAUACGUUCGUUGGGUAGGGGAGCGUUCUGUAAGCCGUUGAAGGUGGCCUGUGAGGGUUGCUGGAGGUAUCAGAAGUGCGAAUGCUGACAUAAGUAACGAUAAAGCGGGUGAAAAGCCCGCUCGCCGGAAGACCAAGGGUUCCUGUCCAACGUUAAUCGGGGCAGGGUGAGUCGACCCCUAAGGCGAGGCCGAAAGGCGUAGUCGAUGGGAAACGGGUUAAUAUUCCCGUACUUGGUGUUACUGCGAAGGGGGGACGGAGAAGGCUAUGUUGGCCGGGCGACGGUUGUCCCGGUUUAAGCGUGUAGGUGUGUGUUCCAGGUAAAUCCGGUUCACUUUAACACUGAGGCGUGACGACGAGGCACUACGGUGCUGAAGCAACAAAUGCCCUGCUUCCAGGAAAAGCCUCUAAGCCUCAGGUAACAUCAAAUCGUACCCCAAACCGACACAGGUGGUCAGGUAGAGAAUACCAAGGCGCUUGAGAGAACUCGGGUGAAGGAACUAGGCAAAAUGGUGCCGUAACUUCGGGAGAAGGCACGCUGAUAUGUAGGUGAAGUGAUUUACUCAUGGAGCUGAAAUCAGUCGAAGAUACCAGCUGGCUGCAACUGUUUAUUAAAAACACAGCACUGUGCAAACACGAAAGUGGACGUAUACGGUGUGACGCCUGCCCGGUGCCGGAAGGUUAAUUGAUGGGGUCAGCGCAAGCGAAGCUCCUGAUCGAAGCCCCGGUAAACGGCGGCCGUAACUAUAACGGUCCUAAGGUAGCGAAAUUCCUUGUCGGGUAAGUUCCGACCUGCACGAAUGGCGUAAUGAUGGCCAGGCUGUCUCCACCCGGGACUCAGUGAAAUUGAACUCGCUGUGAAGAUGCAGUGUACCCGCGGCAAGACGGAAAGACCCCGUGAACCUUUACUAUAGCUUGACACUGAACACUGGUCCUUGAUGUGCAGGAUAGGUGGGAGGCUUUGAAGUGUGGACGCCAGUCUGCAUGGAGCCAUCCUUGAAAUACCACCCUUUAAUGGCUGGUGUUCUAACGUGGGCCCGUGAACCGGGUUGCGGACAGUGUCUGGUGGGUAGUUUGACUGGGGCGGUCUCCUCCUAAAGAGUAACGGAGGAGCACGAAGGUUGGCUAAUCCUGGUCGGACAUCAGGAGGUUAGUGCAAUGGCAUAAGCCAGCUUGACUGCGAGCGUGACGGCGCGAGCAGGUGCGAAAGCAGGUCAUAGUGAUCCGGUGGUUCUGAAUGGAAGGGCCAUCGCUCAACGGAUAAAAGGUACUCCGGGGAUAACAGGCUGAUACCGCCCAAGAGUUCAUAUCGACGGCGGUGUUUGGCACCUCGAUGUCGGCUCAUCACAUCCUGGGGCUGAAGUAGGUCCCAAGGGUAUGGCUGUUCGCCAUUUAAAGUGGUACGCGAGCUGGGUUUAGAACGUCGUGAGACAGUUCGGUCCCUAUCUGCCGUGGGCGCUGGAAGAUUGAGGGGGGCUGCUCCUAGUACGAGAGGACCGGAGUGGACGCAUCACUGGUGUUCGGGUUGUCAUGCCAAUGGCACUGCCCGGUAGCUACAUGCGGAAGAGAUAAGUGCUGAAAGCAUCUAAGCACGAAACUUGCCCCGAGAUGAAUCUUCCCUGAGCCUUUAAGGCUCCUGAAGGAACGUUGAAGACGACGACGUUGAUAGGCCGGGUGUGUAAGCGCAGCGAUGCGUUGAGCUAACCGGUACUAAUGAACCGUGAGGCUUAACCUU
RNAcentral lists this ribosomal RNA (2341 nucleotides) under Salmonella enterica. RNAcentral describes it as "partial 23S ribosomal RNA". It matches the Rfam family "Bacterial large subunit ribosomal RNA", at positions 693 to 2925 of the family's 2925-position model. Lineage: Bacteria; Pseudomonadati; Pseudomonadota; Gammaproteobacteria; Enterobacterales; Enterobacteriaceae. The record is from RNAcentral.